UAGGGAAUAUUGCGCAAUGGGCGAAAGCCUGAUGCAGCCAUGCCGCGUGGAUGAUGAAGGCCUUCGGGUCGUAAAGUCCUUUUCUGAGGGAAGAACUGCCGGGGGAGGAAAUGCCCUUGGCUUGACGGUACCUCAGGAAUAAGCAACGGCUAACUCCGUGCCAGCAGCCGCGGUAAUACGGAGGUUGCAAGCGUUGUUCGGAAUGACUGGGCGUAAAGGGAGCGCAGGCGGCCAAGUCAGUCUGAAGUGAAAGCCCGGGGCUUAACCCCGGAAUAGCUUUGGAUACUGCCUGGCUUGAGUGUGCGAUGGGAAAGCGGAUUUCCAGGCGUAGCGGUGAAAUGCGUAGAUAUCUGGAGGAACACCGGUGGCGAAAGCGGCUUUCUGGCGCAUAACUGACGCUGAGGCUCGAAAGCGUGGGGAGC
Molecule: ribosomal RNA, 422 nt
Filed under: uncultured bacterium
Lineage: Bacteria
Description: bacterial SSU rRNA
Rfam family: Bacterial small subunit ribosomal RNA
Source: RNAcentral